Molecule: long non-coding RNA, 2619 nt
Organism: Cyprinus carpio carpio
Lineage: Eukaryota; Metazoa; Chordata; Actinopteri; Cypriniformes; Cyprinidae
Source: Ensembl
AUGUCAUGGUCUUGUCAUGAUCCUGUCUCUAUCUCUCUCUUUUUCUCUCUCUGUCUCCCCCUGCUGGUUUCUCCUCUCCUGUCUCCCCCGCUCUUCGCUUCUGUGUCACAGCUGACUUCACUUCUCAUUAAGAUAAUUUCCCCUCCACCUGCUUCUCAUAUUGCCUUGUUAUCUGGGCUACUUCUACCCUCUCGUUCUCGUCUCUUUGUCAGAUUGUUAUCUCCUAAUGAAGCUGUUGCCGUCUGCACAAGAGAUUAGUAUUGUCCUGUCCUGUCCGGUCUAGUCGGGGUUAGGUUAGUCAUCUGCUAUCCCUGCCCGUUCGUCUCUGUGCUCACCCCUUUGCACCCCACAGAACCUUACCUGCUGUCCAACGCCGCGGCCUCCCCGCUCUGCGAGCUCCGUUCCCCGGAUCUCCCCUGAGCCCGGUCAAGCCUCCGCCUCGCCAGCCUGCUGGUGGUUCCAGCCACAGAGGUCUCCUGUGUUACUUAUACCCAGCCUGCGGGUCUGCCUUGGUUUUCACCUUUUGUACUCCUUAUUUGGAUUUUCCUGUGGCUUUUCUUUGUUUGAUUAAAGACUGUCAUUUUGCCCUCGCAUUUGAGUCCUCUUCCUUCAAUACCCAUCACAGUGAAUUGUAAAGGAUUGAACUUUUGGCCUGAGUGGGUGUUGGCACUUUUGCCAUGUCCUAAAAUGUUCCGAUGUCAAAAUUUAAAAAUGUUUUUUUUGGGAUUACUGUUUUUAUUAGCAAUAAUUUAACAGAUUUUCCAAUGAAUCCAAUGAAUAUAAUAAUACACGUGCGCUCGCGCACGCACACACACACACAGAUUUUCCAAUGAAUCCAAUGAAUAUAACUAUACACAUACGUGAGCGCACACACACACACACACACACACACACACACACACACACACAAACACACACACACACACACACACACACACACACACACACACACACAGCUACUAAAACAAUCAAAAGAUGACAAAAAAAAACAUAAAUGAUAGAGUAGUGAGCAAAUAGGUACAUAAAUAUCAUACAUUUCAUUUGAAUAUCUUUAGUGUAUUCCUGGAUAAUGUACAGUAAUCCUCAAAGAUGACUUGACACCAGAGUGAGAUCCGAAAUACGGAACAACAGUGACAUUUUGGUGGUGUGCGAUUAAAGUCGCUAGAGUCAUGUUUCUUCAUCAGAGUUCUUAUAUAAAAUACUUCCUUCAUUCACAACACAAGCAUCUUCCUUUUUUAAAGGUUACAGAGUUCAAAAUAUACUUCAUAGCACAAAUUACCCAUAGUUACAGUAUUAAGUAACAACAGUGAACAUAACAAACAAUGUAAUUUUAUUGUGGAACAGCCUUAAAGGCACAUGUUCACCCAGUUAUCAUUUACUCACCCUCAAAUUUUUUCAAACCUGUAUGAAUUUAAUUAAGCUGUUACACACAAAAGAAGAUUAUGAAGAAUGUUGUUAACCAAACAAUUGAUGGCACCCAUUGACUUCCAUAGGGUUUUUUCUUUCUUUCUUUUUUCUUUUUUUCACAAUAUAGAAGAACAUUCUUCAAAAUAUCUUCCUCUGUGUUCAGUGGAAGAAAGAAACUCAUACAGGUUUGGGAAGAAAAAGUGUGAGUGUGAGAAAACAAUGACAGAAUUUUCAUUUUUGGGUGAACUACGCCUUUAAUUAACAUUCAAAUGUGACAUGCUGCAUACAAUUUAGUGUUUGUACUUUCAAAAUGUAAGAGUCCAAGUGAGUUCAAACAUUUCCACAGAUCAUACAUCAUCUUACAUAAUAUCAGCGUAUUUGACGCAUCCUGUAAUUAAAAUGUCCUGGCAAAUUGAAUUCCUGUUGUGUUUUCAUUUAGUUUUAAUUUGGGUUUCUCCUUGUCACCAUUCAUCUUUUCAUUAUCAGUGGCUGCCCUUGGCAACUAUUUUUUAAGCUGUUCUUUCUACGGAGUCACUGUUGUUGUUUUGAUGUGAUUGUUGUGCUGUGGGCAUGUUCCUCAGGGACUGCGCCUGCACCUUAAUGCACUAAGUCAAAUCCAUUAGAGACCCAUCACUAUCUAAUUACUGAGUUUUCAGCUAAGGACAAGAAGCGUGCGCACACACACACACAGUGAAAUGCAGAAAAAAGUGUCUUAUGGGACAUAAGUAGAUGACCUCCCACAUCUACCCUUCUCUACUCUCAAGAAAUGAGAGUUAGGGAGGAGGAUGGGGCGAAAGAGAUUUUGACAGGCAGAAAUCUCUGGCCCAUUACAUCAAGAUCGAUACCGCAAGUGUAAACAUGGUGAUGUAUAGGUUCUACCCGGCUGCAGGGUAAUUAGAGUGUCAAGGACAGCGCCAUGUGCCAAAGUCUUUGAGCUGGAAAUCUAACGUAUCGCCAUUUCUCACUUUUCGAAAAGCAGCGAACAGGCUUACAAGGGAUGUACUUAUCUCGAAAAUCCUCAUGACUUGGUACGAUCGCAUAACACCUGUUGACGCUCGACUUUUCUUCUGGAUUUUAAGCUGAUCCAUCAUCAGAUACAGCAGCACAAAAUGGAUAAAGUGCUGCUGUAAGUGAUUUAGAUCUUCAGAUCAGGUACCCUAUAGUGUCCUUUUUGUCAUCCUCUGUCUUUCUUUGGCUUCUUUUGGAGCUGUC